GGUUUUGUAGUGUAGCGGUUAUCACUCCGGAUUCUGAUCCUCUCAUCAGAAUCUUCCGGCAACCCCGGUUCGAUUCCGGGCAAGACCU
Non-coding RNA from Massarina eburnea CBS 473.64, 88 nucleotides. NCBI's taxonomy places the organism in Eukaryota, Fungi, Ascomycota, Dothideomycetes, Pleosporales, Massarinaceae. The record is from the annotation of a GenBank genome assembly.